UAAUAAGACGUGGGAAUACUCGGGAAACCGGAGCUAAUACCGGAUAAUAUUUCGAACCGCAUGGUUCGAUAGUGAAAGGUGGUUUUGCUAUCACUUAUAGAUGGACCCGCGCCGUAUUAGCUAGUUGGUAAGGUAACGGCUUACCAAGGCGACGAUACGUAGCCGACCUGAGAGGGUGAUCGGCCACACUGGAACUGAGACACGGUCCAGACUCCUACGGGAGGCAGCAGAC
RNAcentral lists this ribosomal RNA (232 nucleotides) under uncultured Staphylococcus sp. RNAcentral describes it as "partial 16S ribosomal RNA". It matches the Rfam family "Bacterial small subunit ribosomal RNA", at positions 130 to 354 of the family's 1533-position model. Lineage: Bacteria; Bacillati; Bacillota; Bacilli; Caryophanales; Staphylococcaceae. The record is from RNAcentral.